ACGCACGCUGGCGGCGUGCCUAAUACAUGCACGUCGAGCGGACUUAAAAAGCUUGCUUUUUAAGUUAGCGGCGGACGGGUGAGUAACACGUGGGCAACCUGCCUGUAAGACUGGGAUAACUUCGGGAAACCGGAGCUAAUACCGGAUAAUCCUUUUCUACUCAUGUAGAAAAGCUGAAAGACGGUUUACGCUGUCACUUACAGAUGGGCCCGCGGCGCAUUAGCUAGUUGGUGAGGUAACGGCUCACCAAGGCGACGAUGCGUAGCCGACCUGAGAGGGUGAUCGGCCACACUGGGACUGAGACACGGCCCAGACUCCUACGGGAGGCAGCAGUAGGGAAUCUUCCGCAAUGGACGAAAGUCUGACGGAGCAACGCCGCGUGAGUGAUGAAGGUUUUCGGAUCGUAAAACUCUGUUGUUAGGGAAGAACAAGUACGAGAGUAACUGCUCGUACCUUGACGGUACCUAACCAGAAAGCCACGGCUAACUACGUG
Molecule: ribosomal RNA, 493 nt
Filed under: uncultured bacterium
Lineage: Bacteria
Description: partial 16S ribosomal RNA
Rfam family: Bacterial small subunit ribosomal RNA
Source: RNAcentral